Molecule: ribosomal RNA, 497 nt
Filed under: uncultured bacterium
Lineage: Bacteria
Description: partial 16S ribosomal RNA
Rfam family: Bacterial small subunit ribosomal RNA
Source: RNAcentral
GAUGAACGCUGGCGGCGUGCCUAAUACAUGCAAGUCGAGCGAACAGACGAGGAGCUUGCUCCUCUGACGUUAGCGGCGGACGGGUGAGUAACACGUGGAUAACCUACCUAUAAGACUGGGAUAACUUCGGGAAACCGGAGCUAAUACCGGAUAAUAUAUUGAACCGCAUGGUUCAAUAGUGAAAGACGGUUUUGCUGUCACUUAUACAUGGAUCCGCGCCGCAUUAGCUAGUUGGUAAGGUAACGGCUUACCAAGGCAACGAUGCGUAGCCGACCUGAGAGGGUGAUCGGCCACACUGGAACUGAGACACGGUCCAGACUCCUACGGGAGGCAGCAGUAGGGAAUCUUCCGCAAUGGGCGAAAGCCUGACGGAGCAACGCCGCGUGAGUGCUGAAGGUCUUCGGAUCGUAAAACUCUGUUAUUAGGGAAGAACAAAUGUGUAAGUAACUAUGCACGUCUUGACGGUACCUAAUCAGAAAGCCACGGCUAACUACGUG